UGGGGAAUUUUGGACAAUGGGGGAAACCCUGAUCCAGCCAUCCCGCGUGUGCGAUGAAGGCCUUCGGGUUGUAAAGCACUUUUGGCAGGAAAGAAACGUCAUGGGUUAAUACCCCGUGAAACUGACGGUACCUGCAGAAUAAGCACCGGCUAACUACGUGCCAGCAGCCGCGGUAAUACGUAGGGUGCAAGCGUUAAUCGGAAUUACUGGGCGUAAAGCGUGCGCAGGCGGUUCGGAAAGAAAGAUGUGAAAUCCCAGAGCCCAACUUUGGAACUGCAUUUUUAACUACCGGGCUAGAGUGUGUCAGAGGGAGGUGGAAUUCCGCGUGUAGCAGUGAAAUGCGUAGAUAUGCGGAGGACCACCGAUGGCGAAGGCAGCCUCCUGGGAUAACACUGACGCUCAUGCAAGAAAGCGUGGGGAGCAAACAGG
This 429-nucleotide ribosomal RNA is filed under the name Acidobacteriota bacterium. RNAcentral's name for it is "Acidobacteria bacterium partial 16S ribosomal RNA". It matches the Rfam family "Bacterial small subunit ribosomal RNA", at positions 355 to 776 of the family's 1533-position model. The record is from RNAcentral. Lineage: Bacteria; Pseudomonadati; Acidobacteriota.